UAGGGAAUUGUUCGCAAUGGGCGCAAGCCUGACGACGCAACGCCGCGUGGAGGACGAAGAUCUUCGGGUCGUAAACUCCUGUCGAGCGGGAAGAACAGCGUGCGGGUCAAUACCCCGCACGCCUGACGGUACCGCUAGAGGAAGCCCCGGCUAACUCCGUGCCAGCAGCCGCGGUAAUACGGGGGGGGCAAGCGUUGUUCGGAAUUACUGGGCGUAAAGGGCUCGUAGGCGGCCAGCUAAGUCGGUUGUGAAAUCCCCCGGCUCAACCGGGGAACUGCGACCGAUACUGGUUGGCUCGAAGCCGGGAGAGGGAUGCGGAAUUCCAGGUGUAGCGGUGAAAUGCGUAGAUAUCUGGAGGAACACCCGUGGCGAAGGCGGCAUCCUGGACCGGUCUUGACGCUGAGGAGCGAAAGCCAGGGUAGCAAACGGG
RNAcentral lists this ribosomal RNA (430 nucleotides) under uncultured Acidobacteriota bacterium. Its description in RNAcentral is "bacterial SSU rRNA". It matches the Rfam family "Bacterial small subunit ribosomal RNA", at positions 355 to 776 of the family's 1533-position model. RNAcentral also lists the same sequence under 1 other name. The record is from RNAcentral. Lineage: Bacteria; Pseudomonadati; Acidobacteriota.